CGGGCGAAUUUGGUGGAAUUCAUUUGCGAAUUCCGGUUUCAACUUGUUUGGCUGCCACACAUUGACCAUUGGAAUUGAAUUGUCGUUUUCACCCAAAUCCCUGCCUCCUCCCCGUCAUUCCUGUGGAUUUGCCAGCUCUCCUCCUCCCCGACACCACUCUCCCUCCCCAAUCCUGCUCCUCCCCAUCCAUGGCGCUCCGAUUCGCCGCCACCAGCGAGCCCUCCCUCCUCCGCCGAUCCCUCUUCUUCAUUUCUUAUCCUUUCCCAUCUCCUAUUCCUCACCUCCCCCUUCAAUCCCCCGACCCCCAGUUGCUCCGCCCCGUGCUCCGUCCUGCUGCCGGGAGCAGCGUCCGAUGACCACAGUUGCCCCGCCCGGACCUCCGUCCUGCUGCCGGGAGCAGCGGCCGGUGACCCCCAGUUGCCCCGCCCGCAGUCCCUGAUUUAGUACCGGAUCGACCUCAAGCACACGGGAUCUGGACACCUCCAGAGGAGAUUGACAUCUUGACCAUCUCUGCACCUUAUCCCUGUUGAGGGCAAAUUUUUGGCAAGAUGUCGGACUUGCACGUUAACAUCAUUGCAUCAUGAUGAGAGGAGGAAGAAAAGAAAGAGGGCAGCAGCUGGAUUUUUUGUGUCGGUUGUCGUGAUAGUUCAACACACCUAUUGUCGGAGGAGGAUUAGAGAGCUUGAUGAUUUCAGCGAGGAUGAGACGGAGAUUAAGAUUAGAAAGAAUAUGCUUAAAUAAAUUUAUCAAGGUUCUAAUAAGUACUGUUAUGAUAGUUUGCGCCUAACUACAUGGUCCUUUGUGGACCUAUGCGCUAUCUUGCGUGAAAGAUGUGGUUUGUGCGACACUUUUGUGUAUCAGUCGAAGAAUCAGUCACAAUCUUUUUGCGAGAAA
Long non-coding RNA from Triticum dicoccoides, 894 nucleotides. RefSeq lists it as uncharacterized. The transcript is spliced from 3 exons. NCBI's taxonomy places the organism in Eukaryota, Viridiplantae, Streptophyta, Magnoliopsida, Poales, Poaceae. The record is from RefSeq and is a predicted model, not a curated record.